CAGCUCAGUUGGUUGGAGCAUGGUGCUGAAAACGCCAAGGUUGCAGGUUCGAUCCCUGCACGG
This 63-nucleotide transfer RNA is filed under the name Podarcis lilfordi (Lilford's wall lizard). RNAcentral describes it as "tRNA.Phe". It matches the Rfam family "tRNA", at positions 9 to 63 of the family's 71-position model. Rfam says of the family: Transfer RNA (tRNA) molecules are approximately 80 nucleotides in length. Their secondary structure includes four short double-helical elements and three loops (D, anti-codon, and T loops). Further hydrogen bonds mediate the characteristic L-shaped molecular structure. tRNAs have two regions of fundamental functional importance: the anti-codon, which is responsible for specific mRNA codon recognition, and the 3' end, to which the tRNAs corresponding amino acid is attached (by aminoacyl-tRNA synthetases). tRNAs cope with the degeneracy of the genetic code in two manners: having more than one tRNA (with a specific anti-codon) for a particular amino acid; and 'wobble' base-pairing, i.e. permitting non-standard base-pairing at the 3rd anti-codon position. Lineage: Eukaryota; Metazoa; Chordata; Lepidosauria; Squamata; Lacertidae. The record is from RNAcentral.